RNAcentral lists this unclassified non-coding RNA (336 nucleotides) under soil metagenome. RNAcentral describes it as "partial contains 5.8S ribosomal RNA, internal transcribed spacer 2, and large subunit ribosomal RNA". The stretch from base 1 to 120 matches the Rfam family "5.8S ribosomal RNA", at positions 35 to 154 of the family's 154-position model. The record is from RNAcentral.
GAUGAAGAACGUAGCGAAAUGCGAUAAGUAGUGUGAAUUGCAGAUUUCAGUGAAUCAUCGAAUCUUUGAACGCACAUUGCGCCCCUUGGUAUUCCAUGGGGCAUGCCUGUUCGAGCGUCAUUUGUACCUUCAAGCUUUGCUUGGUGUUGGGUGUUUGUCUCGCCUUUGCGUGUAGACUCGCCUUAAAAUAAUUGGCAGCCGGCGUAUUGAUUUCGGAGCGCAGUACAUCUCGCGCUUUGCACUCAUAACGACAGCGUCCAAAAGUACAUUUUACACUCUUGACCUCGGAUCAGGUAGGGAUACCCGCUGAACUUAAGCAUAUCAAUAAGCGGAGGA